ACGAACGCUGGCGGCGUGCCUAAUACAUGCCAGUAGAACGCUGAAGGAGGAGCUUGCUUCUCUGGAUGCGUUGCGAACGGGUGAGUAACGCGUAGGUAACCUGCCUGGUAGCGGGGGAUAACUAUUGGAAACGAUAGCUAAUACCGCAUAAUAGUAGAUGUUGCAUGACAUUUGCUUAAAAGGUGCAAUUGCAUCACUACCAGAUGGACCUGCGUUGUAUUAGCUAGUUGGUGGGGUAACGGCUCACCAAGGCGACGAUACAUAGCCGACCUGAGAGGGUGAUCGGCCACACUGGGACUGAGACACGGCCCAGACUCCUACGGGAGGCAGCAGUAGGGAAUCUUCGGCAAUGGACGGAAGUCUGACCGAGCAACGCCGCGUGAGUGAAGAAGGUUUUCGGAUCGUAAAGCUCUGUUGUAAGAGAAGAACGAGUGUGAGAGUGGAAAGUUCACACUGUGACGGUAUCUUACCAGAAAGGGACGGCUAACUACGUG
This 494-nucleotide ribosomal RNA is filed under the name uncultured bacterium. Its description in RNAcentral is "partial 16S ribosomal RNA". It matches the Rfam family "Bacterial small subunit ribosomal RNA", at positions 29 to 507 of the family's 1533-position model. The record is from RNAcentral.